GAGGUAAAAGACCCAAGUAUGAAUAUGAUGAUGAUUCAAGCGAUUCUUUUGAUCCUUAUUGGGUGGAAGAAAAGGUCGAUUCUGUUGUUGCUAGAAUGUCGCAACUUAACAAAUCAAAUCCAUCGAGGUCUCUGAAUAGUAUGGCAGCGAAGCGUCCAUUUUUUCUAUACGGAAACGUGGCUAACAUAUCUUACGACUCAUGGGUAAAAUUGUCUCAGUUCUUAUAUGGUGUUGAACCUGAGUUUGUGAACAAUCAGUUAUUUUCAGCCUUGAAUAGAAUUGAAGGCUAUAUACACAAUCUUCCAGUUGAAAACAGGUUCCACAUCCUUCCGAAGCCACCUAUGACCAUUGAGGAUGUUCUUCCGCGGACAAAGAAAUGGUGGCCACCUUGGGAUUCAAGAAAGCAGUUGAGCUGCAUCAAUUGUGAAACUAGAGGUGUAGCUCAACUUUGUGACAGGCUAGGAAAGUUUCUAGCUGAUUCUGGCGGAGUACCCUCGUCUGAACAGCAGAGAGACAUUCUUCGCUAUUGCCGUGGAUUGAAUCUUGUGUGGACUGGUAAAUACAAACUGGGUCCGGUAGAGCCUGAACACUUGGAGCUUAUCUUAGGCUACCCUUCGAAUCACGUUGGUUCUGUCGAGAGUGAUUUGGCCGAAAGACUUAAAUCACUAAAAUACUGCUUCCAGACAGACACAUUGGGAUAUCAUCUUUCUGUUUUGAAACCUGUUUUUCCUAGUGGACUGACUAUGUUGUCACUUUUCAGUGGAAUUGGUGGAGCAGAAAUUGCCUUGCACCGCCUUGGUAUAAAAAUAAAAGCUCUCGUCUCAGUUGAGACUUCUGAGAAAAAGAGGAGGAUUCUCGAGAGGUGGUGGCGUAGUUCGGGACAAACGGGGACUUUGGUUCAGAUUGAAGAGAUUCAGAAGUUGACUAGUAAAAAACUUCAGAGCCUAAUUAGUAAAUUGGGUGGCUUUGACCUGGUAAUUUAUCAGAGCCCAAGUCCUAGGGGUGGUGAAAGUAUCGCAUCUGUAGAUUUUUCAGUGUUUCAUGAAUGUGUUCGUGUUUUGCACCGUGUAAGAGGUUUGUGUGAAAGAAUGUGACUCGGAUCUUGUUGUAAAUUAUGUCAGAUUAUAUGCUUUGGUUGCAUGCCCUGUUCUUGACAAAGGCAGCUGCUACAAAUUGUGACAUCAUGUAAAAUUUUCAAUGCAGGAAAUUUUAGCAGUAUUGUUCGGAUCUAUAAUAUGUUAGUUAAUGCAUUAGUAGAGAUAUUAUAGAUUAUUAUUGCUCUAUCCUGUUUUCAUGGUGGAUCACUGUCUGAAUAAAGCCAUGGUGAAAAACCACAGUAUUGCCAAAAUCAAUGGUAGAAACAAUAAAAGCUAAGGUAGACAGUAGACACCAAUGUUCAUUGAAUCAGACACCGGUUUAAGUGUAUGACAAUGACGAGCCAUUUCAUGUGGUCAUUUAGUAUAUGCAUAUUGUAGAAUAACCCAAAUUUUUAAUUUUCUUACCUUUGUAUUUAACUAUGAGAUCAACCCGUCAAAAAAAAAACUAUGAUAUCAACCCGUGCAAUGCUUUAUGAUUUUAAAAAUUUGCACUAUUUUUUUUUACGGAAAUACGAUUUUCAUUGAAAAUGAAAGGUCAAAAUAUUCGACCGAAUACAAACAUUGAAAACUUGAGGGAAACCCAAACCUCAUCUCUAAUAGAUUCGGAGUACUUAGUUAUGGUGUGAGCCACCUUAUUUGCUUCCCUAUAAACAUGACUAAAAGAAAUAGAAGAAAAACUAGGAAUUAAACUCCUAAUCUUAGCAACAAGAGGUGCCAAGUAAGAAUUAUGAUGAGCCUGGCCAGUAAUUGCACGAAUCACCUUCUCUGAAUUGGAUUCAACCUUCAACUUCAGAUAGCCAUAUGCGACACGCGACAGCUAACUUGAGUCCCUGCUGAAUAGCAAUGGCCUUCGCAAAGUCAACCCCCAGAUCAAACAAACAAGAUAGCGAUGCAGCCAAUCGAGCCUCCCAAUGACUAUCCAUGAAAAUCAUCCCAUUCCGCUACACAUCCCCCACCUUCGCUGCAUCCACAUUCAACUUGACAUGCUCGCAUCAGGCGGCUUCCAUCAACUAUCACGAGACACACCCACCACCGGCUCCUGUGGACGAAGAGAAGCUCUGGCAGCUUGAUAAUCACGAAGCUCCUCCAUCGAUUUAGCUGCAGUACCGCGUUCAUCCACAACUCUUCGGCUUCAAAACAGGCUAGAUUAUGAGGACAUGUAGGUAUACAUAUAAAUAUUUACCUUCUUCAACGCAUGUUGAAGUAAGUUAUGCGGAAGGAAGUGCACAUGCUUCACCUACCUCAAAAGCGGGUGUUUCAUCGUCUCAUGGGAUUGAGUUGCCUGAGUUGUCUAAGACAACUCAAAUAAGUGAAAUAACUCACUCUCAUUUGAUUAGGCACGUUAUCCUUUAUGUUUCGACAAUUUUGAAUAUGAACAAGAACUUUCUAGUUUUUCUUAUAGACAUUCAUAUCAAAAAAAAAGUUAUGACUAGAGUCAUUUCAUGUGGUCAUUUAGCAUGUGCAUAUUGUAGAAUGACAUAAAUUUUUUAUUUUCUUAACUUUGUAUUUAACGUUAAAAUAUAAUAUAAAAUCAUUCAUUUAGCUCUUACCCGAAGGUAAAUGUCACAUGAAUGAUUUUAUAUUACUUCUCUAACAAUAUUAACAUGUGCGAUGCUUGACCGCUUUUAUGAUUAUAAAAAUUUGAACUACUUUUAAUAAACCACAUGUAGGUAUAAAUAUUAAAAAAAAAUAUGUCUUUGUUAAAGUUCGAAAAUGCUAUGUAGUCAUUUCUUUUAUCAAGACUAACCAGUUUUCUCUUAGUCUCAGGUUCUUGAACUUACUAGUUGGUUAUUUUUCAGGUGCAGAGGCUCCAAUUUCAGAGCUCGCAAACUUUAUUUUUGCAGAACAAAAUGUGAUUGAUUAUGUAAUGGAAUACAAGGUGAGAUUUUAUUAUUUGUUUUUCACUUUGUGUUUAGUCCUUUAUAUUGAAAUGCUGGAAUUUAACUAUGAUAAUCAUUGCAUGGAUAUGUUUCAAAUAUCCAAUGUUCAUGAAAAAUGUCGUCAGGUGCUAACUAGUAUGCAGAACUGUACCAAAAGAAAAACUUAGGGGUAGAAAUAAUUUUACAAUAUCAAAAUUUCACAUAAAUGAGUGAACUUUGCUUUUAUAUGUAUAUUAUGUUCUUAUUUAAAUGUUGUAUGAAUGUCUGAAAUCAACAGUAGUGCUAAGAAACCUAUUAAAUGAAGUUAAGGACAUAUUUGGCAUAUGGUAGACUAAAAUGGUACUGUCCCCAGUUAUUAUUUAGUAAUAAUAAUCAUUGAGGUAUUAUUGAAUGAUGAAUUUUCUUGCUUGUCUAGUAUCCCUGGAUCAAAGAGGAACAACAUAGCGAUAUGUAUGAUACAGCGGAAGUGAAACCUGAGGAUUUUAGCGAUGAACCUUCACAAUCAAGGCAGGUCAACUUGGAGGAAACUUACAAUGGUAAAAGGGUGAAGGAAGAGGGUAUUGAUGAAAUUCCCAAUGCUGUUUCUGACAUGGGAUAUUUUGAUCUUGCGGAGAAUGAUAGAGGUAAAAGACCCAAGUAUGAAUAUGAUGAUGAUUCAAGCGAUUCUUUUGAUCCUUAUUGGGUGGAAGAAAAGGUCGAUUCUGUUGUUGCUAGAAUGUCGCAACUUAACAAAUCAAAUCCAUCGAGGUCUCUGAAUAGUAUGGCAGCGAAGCGUCCAUUUUUUCUAUACGGAAACGUGGCUAACAUAUCUUACGACUCAUGGGUAAAAUUGUCUCAGUUCUUAUAUGGUGUUGAACCUGAGUUUGUGAACAAUCAGUUAUUUUCAGCCUUGAAUAGAAUUGAAGGCUAUAUACACAAUCUUCCAGUUGAAAACAGGUUCCACAUCCUUCCGAAGCCACCUAUGACCAUUGAGGAUGUUCUUCCGCGGACAAAGAAAUGGUGGCCACCUUGGGAUUCAAGAAAGCAGUUGAGCUGCAUCAAUUGUGAAACUAGAGGUGUAGCUCAACUUUGUGACAGGCUAGGAAAGUUUCUAGCUGAUUCUGGCGGAGUACCCUCGUCUGAACAGCAGAGAGACAUUCUUCGCUAUUGCCGUGGA
Molecule: long non-coding RNA, 4133 nt
Filed under: Lotus japonicus
Lineage: Eukaryota; Viridiplantae; Streptophyta; Magnoliopsida; Fabales; Fabaceae
Description: long non-coding RNA (LJAP_LNC001888)
Source: RNAcentral